GAGGAAAGUCCGGGCUUCAGCGGGCAGGAUGCAGGCUAACGGCCUGUCGGGGCAACUCGAAGGAAAGUGCCACAGAAACAUACCGCCGACGGCGCGAGCCGCCGGUAAGGGUGAAAUCGUGAGGUAAGAGCUCACGGAGGCCUACGGUGACGUAGCCUCGCGGUAAACCCCAUCCGAAGCAAGACCGCUCGAUACCUGUCGCUUGCGGCAGGCGGGUCGCCCACCCGGCUCGAGUUACGUCGCAUCGAGGCGCACGGUGACGCGCGCCCCAGAGAGAUGAUCGUCGCCUGCACGACCUGCAGGUACAGAAUCCGGCUUA
RNAcentral lists this RNase P RNA (319 nucleotides) under mine drainage metagenome. RNAcentral describes it as "RNaseP_bact_a". It matches the Rfam family "Bacterial RNase P class A", at positions 43 to 351 of the family's 367-position model. Rfam says of the family: Ribonuclease P (RNase P) is a ubiquitous endoribonuclease, found in archaea, bacteria and eukarya as well as chloroplasts and mitochondria. Its best characterised activity is the generation of mature 5'-ends of tRNAs by cleaving the 5'-leader elements of precursor-tRNAs. The record is from RNAcentral.